This 439-nucleotide ribosomal RNA is filed under the name uncultured bacterium. RNAcentral describes it as "partial 16S ribosomal RNA". It matches the Rfam family "Bacterial small subunit ribosomal RNA", at positions 339 to 795 of the family's 1533-position model. The record is from RNAcentral.
CUACGGGAGGCUCCAGUGGGGAAUAUUGCACAGUGGAGGAAACUCUGAUGCAGCAACGCCGCGUGGAGGAUGACACUUUUCAGAGCGUAAACUCCUUUUAUAUAGGAAGAAGAUGACGGUACUAUAUGAAUAAGCGCCGGCUAACUCCGUGCCAGCAGCCGCGGUAAUAUGGAGGGCGCAAGCGUUACUCGGAAUCACUGGGCGUAAAGAGCGUGUAGGCGGAUUAAAAAGUCAGAAGUGAAAUCCUAUAGCUUAACUAUAGAACUGCUUCUGAAACUCUUAAUCUAGAAUAUGGGAGAGGUAGAUGGAAUUUCUGGUGUAGGGGUAAAAUCCGUAGAGAUCAGAAGGAAUACCGAUUGCGAAGGCGAUCUACUAGAACAUUAUUGACGCUGAGACGCGAAAGCGUGGGGAGCAAACAGGAUUAGAUACCCUCGUAGUC